Molecule: signal recognition particle RNA, 299 nt
Filed under: Saimiri boliviensis boliviensis (Bolivian squirrel monkey)
Lineage: Eukaryota; Metazoa; Chordata; Mammalia; Primates; Cebidae
Description: Metazoan signal recognition particle RNA (ENSSBOG00000005932.1)
Rfam family: Metazoan signal recognition particle RNA
About the family: The signal recognition particle (SRP) is a universally conserved ribonucleoprotein. It is involved in the co-translational targeting of proteins to membranes.
Source: RNAcentral
GCUGGGUGCGGUGGUGUGUGCCUGUAGUCCCAGCUACUCGGGAGGCUGAGGUGGGAGGAUCGCUUGAGCCCAGGAGUUCAGGACUGUAAUGUGCUAUACCGAUCGGGUGUCCAAACUAAGUUCAGCAUCAAAAUGGUGACCUCCCAGGAGCGAGGGACCACCAGGUUGCCUAAGGAGGGGUGAACCGGCCCAGGUCGGAAACCAAGCAGGUCAAAACUCCCAUGCCAAUUAGUAGUGUGAUCGCGCCUGUGAACAGCCACUGCACUCCAGCCUGGGCAACAUAGCAAGACCCUGUCUCC